Molecule: ribosomal RNA, 432 nt
Filed under: uncultured bacterium
Lineage: Bacteria
Description: partial 16S ribosomal RNA
Rfam family: Bacterial small subunit ribosomal RNA
Source: RNAcentral
ACGAACGCUGGCGGCAUGCCUAACACAUGCAAGUCGAACGAGACCUUCGGGUCUAGUGGCGCACGGGUGCGUAACGCGUGGGAACCUGCCCUUAGGUUCGGAAUAACUCCCCGAAAGGGGUGCUAAUACCGUAUAAUGUCUUCGGACCAAAGAUUUAUCGCCUUUGGAUGGGCCCGCGUUGGAUUAGCUAGUUGGUAGGGUAAAAGCCUACCAAGGCGACGAUCCAUAGCUGGUCUGAGAGGAUGAUCAGCCACACUGGGACUGAGACACGGCCCAGACUCCUACGGGAGGCAGCAGUGGGGAAUAUUGGACAAUGGGCGAAAGCCUGAUCCAGCAAUGCCGCGUGAGUGAUGAAGGCCUUAGGGUUGUAAAGCUCUUUUACCCGGGAUGAUAAUGACAGUACCGGGAGAAUAAGCUCCGGCUAACUCCGUG